This 200-nucleotide ribosomal RNA is filed under the name Parabacteroides distasonis. Its description in RNAcentral is "partial 16S ribosomal RNA". It matches the Rfam family "Bacterial small subunit ribosomal RNA", at positions 1 to 189 of the family's 1533-position model. Lineage: Bacteria; Pseudomonadati; Bacteroidota; Bacteroidia; Bacteroidales; Tannerellaceae. The record is from RNAcentral.
CAAUUUAAACAACGAAGAGUUUGAUCCUGGCUCAGGAUGAACGCUAGCGACAGGCUUAACACAUGCAAGUCGAGGGGCAGCGGGGGUAGCGAUACCCGCCGGCGACCGGCGCACGGGUGAGUAACGCGUAUGCAACUUACCUAUCAGAGGGGGAUAACCCGGCGAAAGUCGGACUAAUACCGCAUGAAGCAGGGGCCCCG